GGGUCAUUAGCUCAACUGGAAGAGCAGGCGACUCUUAAUCGUCAGGUUGGGGGUUCGAUUCCCUCAUGGCCCA
Molecule: transfer RNA, 73 nt
Filed under: Desulfofarcimen acetoxidans DSM 771
Lineage: Bacteria; Bacillati; Bacillota; Clostridia; Eubacteriales; Peptococcaceae
Description: Desulfotomaculum acetoxidans DSM 771 tRNA
Rfam family: tRNA
About the family: Transfer RNA (tRNA) molecules are approximately 80 nucleotides in length. Their secondary structure includes four short double-helical elements and three loops (D, anti-codon, and T loops).
Source: Rfam by way of RNAcentral